This is an RNA transcript of Arabidopsis thaliana (thale cress), 385 nucleotides long. RefSeq lists it as uncharacterized. The record is from RefSeq. NCBI's taxonomy places the organism in Eukaryota, Viridiplantae, Streptophyta, Magnoliopsida, Brassicales, Brassicaceae. The transcript has 3 exons.
AAAAACCUUUACAAAUCUCUCUCUGAUAUCUCUAAUUUUUUAGAAAACCCUAAAUUUUCAUUUUCGCAAAAUUUCUGGAGAGGCUUUUUUUAGGCGAUCUUGCUUGGUUCACCGACGAUAUGAUCCAGAAAGGACGAUCACUCACUUCGGCUAGGAUUAUCGAUUCUCAGAUCGUUUUGAGUCUUCUUUGCCUGAGAACAAGAAGAAGAUGAUGGUUCAUCAUAGGAAGCGGCUCUAAUCUUAGGUGCAAAUUCCAGAGCCUAUAAUGUGGCGUUUCUUAGAACUCAGAAAACAGAGAGUUCAACAUUCGCAAUCAAUUGAAGAAUGUGUAUACUUACAUGCACUUAUUCGUAUACACAUGCAUGCAUUCAUUCAUACAUACACG